GUGCCAGCCGCCGCGGUAAUACCGGCAGCCCGAGUGAUGGCCGAUAUUAUUGGGCCUAAAGCGUUCGUAGCCGGCCAGACAAGUCUGUUGGGAAAUCCACGCGCUCAACGCGUGGGCGUCCAGCGGAAACUGCCUGGCUUGGGGCCGGGGACUCGAGGGGUACGUCCGGGGUAGGAGUGAAAUCCCGAGAUCCUCGACGGACCGCCGGUGGCGAAAGCGCCUCGGGAAGAUGGAUCCGACGGUCAGGGACGAAAGCUUGGGUCUCGAACCGGAUUAGAAACCCUUGUAGUCC
Molecule: ribosomal RNA, 292 nt
Filed under: uncultured bacterium
Lineage: Bacteria
Description: partial 16S ribosomal RNA
Rfam family: Archaeal small subunit ribosomal RNA
Source: RNAcentral